UACGGGGGUGGCAAGCGUUACUCGGAAUCAUUGGGUGUAAAGGACAGGUAGGCGGUUUAUUAUGUGAGGGGUGAAAGCCAUCGACUUACUCGAUGAAUUGCCUUUCAAACUGAUAGACUUGAGGUUGGGAGAAGGAAAUGGAAUUAGCAGUGUAAGGGUGAAAUCUGUAGAUAUUGCUAAGAACACCAAUGGCGAAGGCAAUUUCCUAGCCCAAACCUGACGCUGAUCUGUGAAAGCUAGGGGAGCAAAC
RNAcentral lists this ribosomal RNA (250 nucleotides) under uncultured bacterium. RNAcentral's name for it is "partial 16S ribosomal RNA". It matches the Rfam family "Bacterial small subunit ribosomal RNA", at positions 524 to 773 of the family's 1533-position model. The record is from RNAcentral.